RNAcentral lists this long non-coding RNA (601 nucleotides) under Salmo salar (Atlantic salmon). RNAcentral's name for it is "lncRNA (ENSSSAG00000086979.1)". Lineage: Eukaryota; Metazoa; Chordata; Actinopteri; Salmoniformes; Salmonidae. The record is from RNAcentral.
UUAUUAAAGGGUUAAGGUUAGGGUUAUUAAAGGGUUAAGGUUAGGGUUAUUAAAGGGUUAAGGUUAGGGUUAUUAAAGGGUUAAGGUUAGGGUUAUUAAAGGGUUAAGGUUAGGGUUAUUAAAGGGUUAAGGUUAGGGUUAUUAAAGGGUUAAGGUUAGGGUUAUUAAGGGUUAAGGUUAGGGUUAUUAAAGGGUUAAGGUUAGGGUUAUUAAAGGGUUAAGGUUAGGGUUAUUAAAGGGUUAAGGUUAGGGGUAUUAAAGGGUUAAGGUUAGGGUUAUUAAAGGGUUAAGGUUAUUAAAGGGUUAAGGUUAGGGUUAUUAAAGGGUUAAGGUUAUUAAAGGGUUAAGGUUAGGGGUAUUAAAGGGUUAAGGUUAUUAAAGGGUUAAGGUUAUUAAAGGGUUAAGGUUAGGGUUAUUAAAGGGUUAAGGUUAGGGGUAUUAAAGGGUUAAGGUUAGGGUUAUUAAAGGGUUAAGGUUAGGGUUAUUAAAGGGUUAAGGUUAGGGUUAUUAAGGUUAGGGUUAUUAAAGGGUUAAGGUUAGGGUUAUUAAAGGGUUAAGGAUAUUAAGGGUUAGGUUAGGGUUAUUAAAGGGUUAAGGUUAG